CUAUAAUGCAGUCGAGCGAACAGAGAAGGAGCUUGCUCCUUUGACGUUAGCGGCGGACGGGUGAGUAACACGUGGGCAACCUACCUUAUAGUUUGGGAUAACUCCGGGAAACCGGGGCUAAUACCGAAUAAUCUAUUGUCCCUCAUGGGACAAUACUGAAAGACGGUUUCGGCUGUCGCUAUAGGAUGGGCCCGCGGCGCAUUAGCUAGUUGGUGAGGUAACGGCUCACCAAGGCGACGAUGCGUAGCCGACCUGAGAGGGUGAUCGGCCACACUGGGACUGAGACACGGCCCAGACUCCUACGGGAGGCAGCAGUAGGGAAUCUUCCACAAUGGGCGAAAGCCUGAUGGAGCAACGCCGCGUGAGUGAAGAAGGAUUUCGGUUCGUAAAACUCUGUUGUAAGGGAAGAACAAGUACAGUAGUAACUGGCUGUACCUUGACGGUACCUUAUUAGAAAGCCACGGCUAACUACGUGCCAGC
This is a ribosomal RNA of 480 nucleotides. It matches the Rfam family "Bacterial small subunit ribosomal RNA", at positions 49 to 512 of the family's 1533-position model.